RNAcentral lists this ribosomal RNA (251 nucleotides) under uncultured prokaryote. Its description in RNAcentral is "partial 16S rRNA". It matches the Rfam family "Bacterial small subunit ribosomal RNA", at positions 525 to 775 of the family's 1533-position model. The record is from RNAcentral.
ACGUAGGGGGCGAGCGUUGCCCGGAUUUACUGGGCGUAAAGCGCGCGUAGGCGGCUACUUAAGUGGGGAGUUAAAGGCUCCGGCUCAACCGGAGAAAUGCUUUUCAAACUGGGUAGCUUGAGUGUGGGAGAGGGAAGCGGAAUUCCUGGUGUAGCGGUGAAAUGCGUUGAUAUCAGGAGGAACACCGGUGGCGAAGGCGGCUUCCUGGCCUACUACUGACGCUGAGGCGCGAAAGCGUGGGGAGCAAACGG